CAGCAGCCGCGGUAAUCCGUAGGUGGCAAGCGUUGUCCGGAGUUAUUGGGCGUAAAGGGCUCGCAGGCGGUUUCUUAAGUCUGAUGUGAAAGCCCCCGGCUCAACCGGGGAGGGUCACUGGAAACUGGGAAACUUGAGUGCAGAAAAGGAGAGUGGAAUUCCACGUGUAGCGGUGAAAUGCGUAGAGAUGUGGAGGAACACCAGUGGCGAAGGCGACUCUCUGGUCUGUAACUGACGCUGAGGAGCGAAAGCGUGGGGAGCGAACAGGAUUAGAUACCCCUGUAGUCCCUGUCUCUUAUAC
RNAcentral lists this ribosomal RNA (301 nucleotides) under uncultured bacterium. Its description in RNAcentral is "partial 16S ribosomal RNA". It matches the Rfam family "Bacterial small subunit ribosomal RNA", at positions 509 to 807 of the family's 1533-position model. The record is from RNAcentral.